ACUGCUCAGUAACACGUCGUUAACAUGCCCUCUGGUCAGGGAUACCUACGGGAAACUGUGGUUAAUACCUGAUAGGAGCUGCAGCCUGGAAUGGCGCAUCUCCUAAACUCGUGCCGGAGGAUUGGACGGCGGCGGAUUAGGUAGUUGGCGGUGUAACGGACCACCAAGCCAAAGAUCCGUACGGGCCAUGAGAGUGGUAGCCCGGAGAGGGACACUGAGAUACUGGUCCCAGCCCUACGGGGUGCAGCAGGCGCGAAACCUUUCCAAUGUGCGCAAGCGUGAGAAGGGAAUCCCCAGUGCUCAUGCACAGCAUGGGCUUUUGCCAAGUGUAAAUAGCUUGGAGAAUAAGUGGUGGGUAAGACUGGUGCCAGCCGCCGCGGUAACCCCAGCGCCACGAGUGGCAACCGCGUUUAUUGGGCCUAAAGCGUCCGUAGCCGGUCCGGUAAAUCCUUUGUGAAAUUGUUCGGCUUAACCGAACAGCGUGCAAGGGAGACUGCCGGGCUCGAGACCGGGAGGAGUCAGAAGUAUUCCUGAGGGAGCGGUAAAAUGUUAUAAUCUCAGGAGGACUACCUGUGGCGAAGGCGUCUGACCAGAACGGAUCUGACGGUGAGGGACGAAAGCCAGGGGAGCGAACCGGAUUAGAUACCCGAGUAGUCCUGGCCGUAAACGCUGUGAGCUAGGUGUUGUGCUAACUACAUGUUGGCGCAGUGUCGAAAGGAAGCUGUUAAGCUCACCGUCUGGGAAGUACGGUCGCAAGACUGAAACUUUAAGGAAUUGGCGGGGGAGCA
This 788-nucleotide ribosomal RNA is filed under the name uncultured archaeon. RNAcentral's name for it is "bacterial SSU rRNA". It matches the Rfam family "Archaeal small subunit ribosomal RNA", at positions 85 to 878 of the family's 1478-position model. The record is from RNAcentral.